Molecule: ribosomal RNA, 429 nt
Filed under: uncultured Lysobacterales bacterium
Lineage: Bacteria; Pseudomonadati; Pseudomonadota; Gammaproteobacteria; Lysobacterales
Description: bacterial SSU rRNA
Rfam family: Bacterial small subunit ribosomal RNA
Source: RNAcentral
UGGGGAAUAUUGGACAAUGGGCGAAAGCCUGAUCCAGCAAUGCCGCGUGUGUGAAGAAGGCCUGCGGGUUGUAAAGCACUUUUGGCAGGGAAGAAAAGCGCGGGAUUAAUAACCCCGUGAAUUGACGUCACCUGCAGAAAAAGCACCGGCUAACUCUGUGCCAGCAGCCGCGGUAAUACAGAGGGUGCAAGCGUUAAUCGGAAUUACUGGGCGUAAAGCGCGCGUAGGCGGUCGGGUAAGUCGAUUGUGAAAUCCCCGGGCUUAACCUGGGAAUUGCAGUCGAUACUGCCCGGCUAGAGUGUGGAAGAGGGAAGCGGAAUUUCCGGUGUAGCGGUGAAAUGCGUAGAUAUCGGAAGGAACACCAGUGGCGAAGGCGGCUUCCUGGUCCAACACUGACGCUGAGGCGCGAAAGCGUGGGUAGCGAACAGG